CCUACGGGAGGCAGCAGUGGGGAAUAUUGCACAAUGGGCGCAAGCCUGAUGCAGCCAUGCCGCGUGUGUGAAGAAGGCCUUCGGGUUGUAAAGCACUUUCAGCGGGGAGGAAGGCGUUAAAGUUAAUAACCUUGGCGAUUGACGUUACCCGCAGAAGAAGCACCGGCUAACUCCGUGCCAGCAGCCGCGGUAAUACGGAGGGUGCAAGCGUUAAUCGGAAUUACUGGGCGUAAAGCGCACGCAGGCGGUCUGUCAAGUCGGAUGUGAAAUCCCCGGGCUCAACCUGGGAACUGCAUUCGAAACUGGCAGGCUAGAGUCUUGUAGAGGGGGGUAGAAUUCCAGGUGUAGCGGUGAAAUGCGUAGAGAUCUGGAGGAAUACCGGUGGCGAAGGCGGCCCCCUGGACAAAGACUGACGCUCAGGUGCGAAAGCGUGGGGAGCAAACAGGAUUAGAUACCCUAGUAGUC
RNAcentral lists this ribosomal RNA (465 nucleotides) under uncultured Klebsiella sp. RNAcentral describes it as "bacterial SSU rRNA". It matches the Rfam family "Bacterial small subunit ribosomal RNA", at positions 338 to 795 of the family's 1533-position model. The record is from RNAcentral. Lineage: Bacteria; Pseudomonadati; Pseudomonadota; Gammaproteobacteria; Enterobacterales; Enterobacteriaceae.